UACGAAGGGGGCUAGCGUUGCUCGGAAUUACUGGGCGUAAAGGGCGCGUAGGCGGAUGUCUAAGUCGGGGGUGAAAUCCCGAGGCUCAACCUCGGAACUGCCUUCGAUACUGGCGAUCUUUGAGUCCGGGAGAGGUGAGUGGAACUCCGAGUGUAGAGGUGAAAUUCGUAGAUAUUCGGAAGAACACCAGUGGCGAAGGCGGCUCACUGGCCCGGUACUGACGCUCAGGUGCGAAAGCGUGGGGAGCAAACAGG
RNAcentral lists this ribosomal RNA (254 nucleotides) under uncultured bacterium. RNAcentral describes it as "partial 16S ribosomal RNA". It matches the Rfam family "Bacterial small subunit ribosomal RNA", at positions 524 to 776 of the family's 1533-position model. The record is from RNAcentral.